This 72-nucleotide transfer RNA is filed under the name Phrynosoma platyrhinos (Desert horned lizard). RNAcentral describes it as "tRNA-OTHER". Lineage: Eukaryota; Metazoa; Chordata; Lepidosauria; Squamata; Phrynosomatidae. The record is from RNAcentral.
GCCAGCAUGGUGUACUGGUUUGAGUGUUAGACUGCAACUCUGGAGACCAGGGUUCGGUUCCCAGCUCAGCCA